GACGAACGCUGGCGGCGUGCCUAAUACAUGCAAGUAGAACGCACAGUUUAUACCGUAGCUUGCUCCACCAUAGACUGUGAGUUGCGAACGGGUGAGUAACGCGUAGGUAACCUGCCUGGUAGCGGGGGAUAACUAUUGGAAACGAUAGCUAAUACCGCAUAAUAUUGAUUAUUGCAUGAUAAUUAAUUGAAAGUUGCAAUUGCACCACUACCAGAUGGACCUGCGUUGUAUUAGCUAGUAGGGGAGGUAACGGCUCACCUAGACGACGAUACAUAGACGACUAGCGAGGCGGAUCGGCCAAGCUGGGCCGGAGAGACGGCCAAGCACACUACGGGAGGGAGACGGACCGGACUUUCGGCAAUGGCAGAAAGUCUGAACGAGGGACGCCGCGCGAGUGCCGAAGGCUGUCGGGUCGUGAAGCUCAGUUGUAAGUGAAGAACGGGAGUGAGAGUGGAAAGUUCACACUGUGACGGUACCUGAAGAGAAAGCGACGGCUAACUACGUG
Molecule: ribosomal RNA, 505 nt
Filed under: uncultured bacterium
Lineage: Bacteria
Description: partial 16S ribosomal RNA
Rfam family: Bacterial small subunit ribosomal RNA
Source: RNAcentral